GACGAACGCUGGCGGCGUGCUUAACACAUGCAAGUCGAGCGGUAAGGCCCUUUCGGGGGUACACGAGCGGCGAACGGGUGAGUAACACGUGGGUGACCUGCCCUCAGCUCUGGGAUAAGCCUGGGAAACCGGGUCUAAUACUGGAUAUGACUCCAUGACGCAUGUUGUGGGGUGGAAAGCCUUGUGCGGCUGAGGAUGGGCCCGCGGCCUAUCAGCUUGUUGGUGGGGGUGANGGCCUACCAAGGCGACGACGGGUAGCCGGCCUGAGAGGGCGACCGGCCACACUGGGACUGAGACACGGGCCCAGACUCCUACGGGAGGCAGCAGUGGGGAAUCUUGCGCAAUGGGCGAAAGCCUGACGCAGCGACGCCGCGUGAGGGAUGACGGCCUGGUU
RNAcentral lists this ribosomal RNA (394 nucleotides) under uncultured bacterium. RNAcentral's name for it is "bacterial SSU rRNA". It matches the Rfam family "Bacterial small subunit ribosomal RNA", at positions 28 to 424 of the family's 1533-position model. The record is from RNAcentral.